UGCCAGCCGCCGCGGUAAUACGAAGGGCCCGAGCGUUGCGCGGAAUCACUGGGCUUAAAGCGUACGCAGGCGGAUACAUAGGCGCGUUGUGAAAUACCUCGGCUCAACCGAGGAACUGCUUCGCGAACUAUGUAUCUUGAGACUGGUAGGGGCCAUCGGAACGAUAGGUGGAGUGGUGAAAUGCGUUGAUAUCUAUCGGAACGCCAAAGGAGAAAUCAGGUGGCUGGGCCAGUUCUGACGCUCAUGUACGAAAGCGUGGGGAGCGAACGGGAUUAGAUA
RNAcentral lists this ribosomal RNA (279 nucleotides) under uncultured bacterium. Its description in RNAcentral is "partial 16S ribosomal RNA". It matches the Rfam family "Bacterial small subunit ribosomal RNA", at positions 506 to 784 of the family's 1533-position model. The record is from RNAcentral.